RNAcentral lists this ribosomal RNA (600 nucleotides) under Alloyangia pacifica. RNAcentral describes it as "bacterial SSU rRNA". It matches the Rfam family "Bacterial small subunit ribosomal RNA", at positions 96 to 731 of the family's 1533-position model. Lineage: Bacteria; Pseudomonadati; Pseudomonadota; Alphaproteobacteria; Rhodobacterales; Roseobacteraceae. The record is from RNAcentral.
CGGCGGACGGGUGAGUAACGCGUGGGAACGUGCCCUUCUCUACGGAAUAGUCCCGGGAAACUGGGUUUAAUACCGUAUACGCCCUUCGGGGGAAAGAUUUAUCGGAGAAGGAUCGGCCCGCGUUAGAUUAGGUAGUUGGUGGGGUAAUGGCCUACCAAGCCUACGAUCUAUAGCUGGUUUGAGAGGAUGAUCAGCCACACUGGGACUGAGACACGGCCCAGACUCCUACGGGAGGCAGCAGUGGGGAAUCUUAGACAAUGGGGGCAACCCUGAUCUAGCCAUGCCGCGUGAGUGAUGAAGGCCUUAGGGUCGUAAAGCUCUUUCGCUGGGGAAGAUAAUGACUGUACCCAGUAAAGAAACCCCGGCUAACUCCGUGCCAGCAGCCGCGGUAAUACGGAGGGGGUUAGCGUUGUUCGGAAUUACUGGGCGUAAAGCGCGCGUAGGCGGAUUGGAAAGUUGGGGGUGAAAUCCCGGGGCUCAACCUCGGAACUGCCUCCAAAACUCCCAGUCUUGAGUUCGAGAGAGGUGAGUGGAACUCCGAGUGUAGAGGUGAAAUUCGUAGAUAUUCGGAAGAACACCAGUGGCGAAGGCGGCUCACUG